Trichoplusia ni (cabbage looper) is the source of this 512-nucleotide long non-coding RNA. RefSeq lists it as uncharacterized. Lineage: Eukaryota; Metazoa; Arthropoda; Insecta; Lepidoptera; Noctuidae. The transcript has 2 exons. The record is from RefSeq and is a predicted model, not a curated record.
AAGCCGCUAUGACGUAGGCGAGCCGACGUCUUGAACUCGAGCUGACCUACGCGCACGCGCACACUUUAUAUAUAAGGAGUGGGAGGUGCAACAGCUCACAACCAUCUGAACGCUCGCAGCGAACGGACCGUUGAAUUGUUAAAAUAACCUUCAAAUUUCAAAAUGUACACAAAUCCCUUUGAACGUAAACACUCGUCGUUGAGGCAGGCCCUUGACCGCUUCAUCAGAGGCGAGACCCGGAUCAGCUUCAGGAAGAAGACGGACUUGUCCAAAUCUUCAAGCAGCAGCACGUCUUCCAUGACGUCGUCUACAAUGGACUACAAACCUAAGUUUAAUGAGAAGAGGUGAAGAGACCGUGUGACUGUGUAGUGAUUGUGAUAUAAUUUUGCAAAUUCCGCACUCAAAACAGGUUGCGAGUUGUUGGAGACCGGUGGAGUGACGUCAGAUACGUGAGGACCAGUGAACGAUUGACUAUACCGCCAAAAUGAUUUAAUAAAACCUUUUUUUAAGAA